RNAcentral lists this ribosomal RNA (478 nucleotides) under uncultured bacterium. RNAcentral's name for it is "bacterial SSU rRNA". It matches the Rfam family "Bacterial small subunit ribosomal RNA", at positions 29 to 523 of the family's 1533-position model. The record is from RNAcentral.
AUUGAACGCUGGCGGCAUGCUUUACACAUGCAAGUCGAACGGCAGCACGGGCUUCGGCCUGGUGGCGAGUGGCGAACGGGUGAGUAAUGCAUCGGAACGUACCGUGUAAUGGGGGGAUAACGUAGUGAAAGUUACGCUAAUACCGCAUACGCCCUGAGGGGGAAAGCGGGGGAUCGUAAGACCUCGCGUUAUACGAGCGGCCGAUGUCGGAUUAGCUAGUUGGUGGGGUAAAGGCCUACCAAGGCGACGAUCCGUAGCGGGUCUGAGAGGAUGAUCCGCCACACUGGGACUGAGACACGGCCCAGACUCCUACGGGAGGCAGCAGUGGGGAAUUUUGGGACAAUGGGCGCAAGCCUGAUCCAGCCAUGCCGCGUGAGUGAAGAAGGCCUUCGGGUUGUAAAGCUCUUUCAGCAGGGAAGAGUCAAGACUGUACCUGCAGAAGAAGCCCCGGCUAACUACGUGCCAGCAGCCGCGGUAA